Long non-coding RNA from Oncorhynchus keta (chum salmon), 401 nucleotides. RefSeq lists it as uncharacterized. The transcript has 3 exons. The record is from RefSeq and is a predicted model, not a curated record. NCBI's taxonomy places the organism in Eukaryota, Metazoa, Chordata, Actinopteri, Salmoniformes, Salmonidae.
UGUCUAGUCCAGGUGUGUGUCUAGUCCAGGUGUGUGUCUGUGUUACAGUGUGUCUAGUCCAGGUGUGUCUAGUCCAGGUGGGUCUAGUCCAGGUGUGUCUAGUCCAGGUAUGUCUCUGUGUUAGUGUGUCUAGUCCAGUUGUGUCUAGUCCAGGUGUGUCUCUGUGUUACAGUGUGUCUAGUCCAAUUGUGUCUAGUCCAGGUGUGUCUAGUCCAGAUGGGUCUAGUCCAGGUGGGUCUAGUCCAGGUGUGUGUCUACUCCAGGUAUGUCUCUGUGUUACAGUGUGUCUAGUCCAGGUGGGUCUAGUCCAGGUGUGUCUGUGUUACAGUGUAUCUAGUCCAGGUGGGUCUAGUCCAGGUGUGUGUCUAGUCCAGGUGUGUGUCUAGUCCAGGUGUGUGUCU